This 426-nucleotide ribosomal RNA is filed under the name uncultured Verrucomicrobiota bacterium. RNAcentral's name for it is "uncultured Verrucomicrobia bacterium partial 16S ribosomal RNA". It matches the Rfam family "Bacterial small subunit ribosomal RNA", at positions 355 to 774 of the family's 1533-position model. Lineage: Bacteria; Pseudomonadati; Verrucomicrobiota. The record is from RNAcentral.
UCGAGAAUUUUUCACAAUGGGCGCAAGCCUGAUGGAGCGACGCCGCGUGGGGGAUGAAUGGCUUCGGCCCGUAAACCCCUGUCAUUUGCGAUCAACCGUUAUUAUUUAAAAGAUGAUAACCUGAUAGUAGCGAAAGAGGAAGGGACGGCUAACUCUGUGCCAGCAGCCGCGGUAAUACAGAGGUCCCAAGCGUUGUUCGGAUUCACUGGGCGUAAAGGGUGCGUAGGUGGCAAGGUAAGUCGGAUGUGAAAUCUCCGAGCUCAACUCGGAAACUGCAUUGGAAACUGCUUUGCUUGAGGAUUGGAGGGGGGACUGGAAUACUUGGUGUAGCAGUGAAAUGCGUAGAUAUCAAGUGGAACACCAGUGGCGAAGGCGAGUCCCUGGACAAUUCCUGACACUGAGGCACGAAAGCUAGGGGAGCAAACA